CUUGAGAAGCUUGCUGGAGGUAUCAGAAGUGCGAAUGCUGACAUGAGUAACGACAAUGGGUGUGAAAAACACCCACGCCGAAAGACCAAGGGUUCCUGCGCAACGUUAAUCGACGCAGGGUUAGUCGGUUCCUAAGGCGAGGCUGAAAAGCGUAGUCGAUGGGAAACAGGUUAAUAUUCCUGUACUUCUGGUUACUGCGAUGGAAGGACGGAGAAGGCUAGGCCAGCUUGGCGUUGGUUGUCCAAGUUUAAGGUGGUAGGCUGAACUCUUAGGUAAAUCCGGGGUUUCAAGGCCGAGAGCUGAUGACGAGUCGUCUUUUAGAUGACGAAGUGGUUGAUGCCAUGCUUCCAAGAAAAGCUUCUAAGCUUCAGGUAACCAGGAACCGUACCCCAAACCGACACAGGUGGUCGGGUAGAGAAUACCAAGGCGCUUGAGAGAACUCGGGUGAAGGAACUAGGCAAAAUGGCACCGUAACUUCGGGAGAAGGUGCGCCGGCUAGGGUGAAGGAUUUACUCCGUAAGCUCUGGCUGGUCGAAGAUACCAGGCCGCUGCGACUGUUUAUUAAAAACACAGCACUCUGCGAACACGAAAGUGGACGUAUAGGGUGUGACGCCUGCCCGGUGCCGGAAGGUUAAUUGAUGGGGUUAGCGCAAGCGAAGCUCUUGAUCGAAGCCCCGGUAAACGGCGGCCGUAACAAUAACGGUCCUAAGGUAGCGAAAUUCCUUGUCGGGUAAGUUCCGACCUGCACGAAUGGCGUAACGAUGGCGGCGCUGUCUCCACCCGAGACUCAGUGAAAUUGAAAUCGCUGUGAAGAUGCAGUGUAUCCGCGGCUAGACGGAAAGACCCCGUGAACCUUUACUGUAGCUUUGCACUGGACUUUGAGCCUGCUUGUGUAGGAUAGGUGGGAGGCUUUGAAGCGUGGACGCCAGUUCGCGUGGAGCCAUCCUUGAAAUACCACCCUGGCAUGCUUGAGGUUCUAACUCUGGUCCGUAAUCCGGAUCGAGGACAGUGUAUGGUGGGCAGUUUGACUGGGGCGGUCUCCUCCUAAAGAGUAACGGAGGAGUACGAGGGUGCGCUCAGACCGGUCGGAAAUCGGUCGCAGAGUAUAAAGGCAAAAGCGCGCUUGACUGCGAGACAGACACGUCGAGCAGGUACGAAAGUAGGUCUUAGUGAUCCGGUGGUUCUGUAUGGAAGGGCCAUCGCUCAACGGAUAAAGGUACUCCGGGGAUAACAGGCUGAUACCGCCCAAGAGUUCAUAUCGACGGCGGUGUUUGGCACCUCGAUGUCGGCUCAUCACAUCCUGGGGCUGAAGCCGGUCCCAAGAGUAUGGCUGUUCGCCAUUUAAAGUGGUACGCGAGCUGGGUUUAGAACGUCGUGAGACAGCUCGGUCCCUAUCUGCCGUGGACGUUUGAGAUUUGAGAGGGGCUGCUCCUAGUACGAGAGGACCGGAGUGGACGAACCUCUGGUGUUCCGGUUGUCACGCCAGUGGCAUUGCCGGGUAGCUAUGUUCGGAAAAGAUAACCGCUGAAAGCAUCUAAGCGGGAAACUUGCCUCAAGAUGAGAUCUCACUGGGAACUUGAUUCCCCUGAAGGGCCGUCGAAGACUACGACGUUGAUAGGCUGGGUGUGUAAGCGUUGUGAGGCGUUGAGCUAACCAGUACUAAUUGCCCGUGAGGCUUGACC
This 1682-nucleotide ribosomal RNA is filed under the name metagenome. RNAcentral's name for it is "bacterial LSU rRNA". It matches the Rfam family "Bacterial large subunit ribosomal RNA", at positions 1260 to 2925 of the family's 2925-position model. The record is from RNAcentral.